Molecule: non-coding RNA, 32 nt
Filed under: Rattus norvegicus (Norway rat)
Lineage: Eukaryota; Metazoa; Chordata; Mammalia; Rodentia; Muridae
Source: RNAcentral
UGCCCUGAGGGGUUAGCCACUGGACUCCAUUC